UGGUUCCGGCAACGAUGAAGAACGCAGCGAACUGCGAUAAGUAAUGCGAAUCGCAGUACCUAGUGAGUCAUCGAAUCUUUGAACGCACAUUGCGCCCGCUAGUAUUCUGGCGGGCAUGCCUGUCCGAGCGUCAUAUCAAACCUUCAGGUGAAAAUACUCUAUUACCUGGUGUUGGGAGUCCCCUUCGCAGUCUUGUGAAAGGGUUGCCCGAAAACUAGUGGCGGAACUGCCGCGCAAUCAGGAUGUCGUCAUGUCUUCACCUGAAAAAACAACGCAGAGUCUAGCCGUAAAACGAGAAAAGGCAACUUUUCUCUCUUUUUCUAGUUGACCUCGGAUCAGGUAGGACUACCCGCUGA
RNAcentral lists this unclassified non-coding RNA (356 nucleotides) under uncultured fungus. RNAcentral's name for it is "partial contains 5.8S ribosomal RNA and internal transcribed spacer 2". The stretch from base 1 to 133 matches the Rfam family "5.8S ribosomal RNA", at positions 22 to 154 of the family's 154-position model. The record is from RNAcentral. Lineage: Eukaryota; Fungi.